Molecule: long non-coding RNA, 1405 nt
Filed under: Homo sapiens (human)
Lineage: Eukaryota; Metazoa; Chordata; Mammalia; Primates; Hominidae
Description: HSALNT0406106
Source: RNAcentral
GUGGCCACUAAGGGAUGACAGCGACUCCGCACACGCGGCCUGCCCUCUGCGGACCACAGUGACGUUUCACCUUCUUGAAGAUUGGAGAAGGGAGCCAUCAGCUAGGCAUGGCCAUGUGACUACGUUUUGGCCAAUGGGGUACCCUCAUGUUCUCUGUCCCACCCUCUGACCUGAUGCCUGGAACACAGAUGUGAUGGCUGGAGCUCUAAUUGCCAAAAGGGACCACAAAGACCAUGAGCCAAGUCUGUAGGAAUGAAAGAUGCCUGGGGGCCAUGCACCGCGGCUCAUGCCUGUAAUCCCACAACUUUGAUAGGCCAAGGUGGAAGGAUUGCUUGAGGCCAGGAGAUCAAGACCAGCCUGGGCUAAAAUAUGCACCUCUGGCAUAUUGACUAUGUUGAGUUAAAGGCACUUGAAAAACAGCAGGCACAAUAACAAUCUGAUCUUCUUCUUGAAAGCAGGAGAGGCCAGGCGCGACAACUCAUGCUUGCAAUCCCAGCACUUUGAGAGGCCAAGAUGGGCAGAUUACUUGAGGUCAGGAGUUUGAGACCAGCCUGGCCAACAUGGUGAAACCCCAUCUCUACUGAAAAUUAAAAAAAUUAGCUGGGCAUGGUGGCAUCACCUGUAAUCCCAGCUACUCGGGAGGUGCAAGCAGGAGAAUCGCUUGAACCCAGGAGGCGGAGGUUGCAGUACCCUGAGACAGCGCCACUGCACUCUAGCCUGGGCAACAAAGUGAGACUGUCUCAAAAAAAAAAAAAAAAAAAAAAAAGGCCAGCUUGGGCAACAUAGCAAGACCCCAUCUCUACCAAAAAAAUCCACAAAAACCAAAUUAGCCGGGCAUAGUGGUACUGGCCUGUAGUCCCAGCUACUCAGGAGGCUGAGGUGGGAGGAUUGCCUGAGCCUAUGGGUUUGAGGCUGCAGUGAGCUAUGAUCCAGCCUGGGCAACAGAGUGAGACCCUGUCUCUAAAAAAAAGGAAAGAUGCCUGGGUCACCGAAGACCUCUGGAGCCAGUAUGCCAGCCCUGGACCACUUCCACAGCCUUGGACUUUGUUGAAAUCACUGUUAUCUGGGAUUUCGGUCACCUGCUGCUGAACCUAAUUCUAAGUGAGAAACUGAGUUAAAUAGAGUGAAACAAGUUUCAGGAUCAUCUGACUUGGCAGAGCCCUGACUAUUCAAUGUGACCGCGCCUAGCCUGAAGCCGCCCCGUUUUUUUUUUUUUUUUCACAGAUCUCAGAUUGGGAAAGACUUGUCUACAGCACACAUGCAUGGUUAGGAAAUUAUUUUUCAAUAAAAGCAAUUACAUUGUUAUUAAGGACAAUGACACUGACCACACUGAGCUAAGUCAAAGUUUAAGUAAAUCAAACUUGUCAUUAGAAAAGCAGCUUAGAGGUUUAUUGCAAAAGCCUUC